Talpa occidentalis (Iberian mole) is the source of this 453-nucleotide long non-coding RNA. RefSeq lists it as uncharacterized. The transcript has 4 exons. NCBI's taxonomy places the organism in Eukaryota, Metazoa, Chordata, Mammalia, Eulipotyphla, Talpidae. The record is from RefSeq and is a predicted model, not a curated record.
UCUGGAGGGGGCAGCCUGUUCCUGGUUCUGUCGCGAAUUGUCUGUGAGACUUUAGGCAAAGCACAGUCGUCUGCUGGCCUCAGCUUCUGCUCCUGGACAUGCAGUCACUGCAUAUGUAUUUCAGAAUGACUUCCGAAAGCUCUUUUCAAUCAUUUACAUCCAAUUUCCAUGAAAUGACUCUCUCCCUUGGGAACAGGGACCAUCUCUCACUGGCUUAUUUCUCAUAAGACUGAAAACGCAAGAGAAAAGUCUUGAUACUUGACUUAACACCAGUGGAAUAAAUGGGACUAUUGCCCUAUGGACCAGUACAAAGCCACCUUGGCCUUGGUGUCCACCUCAACUCCAUAACCGUGAUAACAGGAAGUGUGACAAGGGGAGCUGAGUCAAGUUGUAAAAAAUUUCUCAGCUAGAAUACUACAAAAUGCCAGAACGGUGGGGUGAUGCAGUCAAUGA